CCUACGGGAGGCAGCAGUGAGGAAUAUUGGUCAAUGGACGAGAGUCUGAACCAGCCAAGUAGCGUGAAGGAUGACUGCCCUAUGGGUUGUAAACUUCUUUUAUAUGGGAAUAAAACGUUCCACGUGUGGGAUUUUGUAUGUACCAUAUGAAUAAGGAUCGGCUAACUCCGUGCCAGCAGCCGCGGUAAUACGGAGGAUCCGAGCGUUAUCCGGAUUUAUUGGGUUUAAAGGGAGCGUAGGUGGGUUGUUAAGUCAGUUGUGAAAGUUUGCGGCUCAACCGUAAAAUUGCAGUUGAAACUGGCAGUCUUGAGUACAGUAGAGGUAGGCGGAAUGCGUGGUGUAGCGGUGAAAUGCUUAGAUAUCGCGAAGAACUCCGAUUGCGAAGGCAGUUCACUGGACUGCAACUGACACUGAGGCUCGAAAGUGUGGGUAUCAAACAGGAUUAGAUACCCUAGUAGUC
Molecule: ribosomal RNA, 460 nt
Filed under: uncultured bacterium
Lineage: Bacteria
Description: partial 16S ribosomal RNA
Rfam family: Bacterial small subunit ribosomal RNA
Source: RNAcentral